UUUGCUUGCGCAACAACUUCCAUCCUUCAUUCCUCUUCAAUUGUCUGUUAAGGCAUGUAUUGCCUUUGCGGAUUGUGUGGUUUCCUGUGUUGUUUACCUAAGUUAUGGUAUUGUGUUUGUUGAUGCUAGUACUUUUUCGUCUUCUAUCAUUCUCAUGAUACAAGAUGAACCUUGAAGCAGUCUCUUUAUACCAUACUUUCAAUGUGUGCGUUGAUGUUAUGGCGUAUCGAGUGUUGCUUGGUUUCAUGGACACAGAACAUGAAUUGGGCAUGGGGUCUUAUUUGAUCCUUUUUUUGUCCUCCAGAGCGUUGCGCUACUCCUUCAGUAACCUUCCAUACUUUGUGACCGUAUAUCGGAGCGGGUAUGGUCUGUUAUUCUACGGGGAAUGCAACGUGCAUUUCUCUGAGCGACUGCCUUCGCCCGCCACGGCUAGUACCAGCGGGGUAGGUCUUGUCAAUUAUGAAUGCUACCUGGUUGAUCCU
Molecule: unclassified non-coding RNA, 482 nt
Filed under: Lasthenia kunthii
Lineage: Eukaryota; Viridiplantae; Streptophyta; Magnoliopsida; Asterales; Asteraceae
Description: partial external transcribed spacer
Source: RNAcentral